CAUGAGUAGAGUGGCACACGGGUGAGUAWCACGUGGGUGACCUGCCUUCGAGUGGGGGAUAWCGUCYCGAAAGGGACGCUAAUACCGCAUAACAUCUUGCCUUUGAARAGGYGGAGAUACAAAGCUGGGGAUCGCAAAGACCUGGCGCUUGAAGAGGGGCCCGCGCCUGAUUAGCUAGUUGGUGGGGUAAYGGCUCACCAAGGCUACGAUCAGUAUCCGGCCUGAGAGGGCGGACGGACACACUG
Molecule: ribosomal RNA, 245 nt
Filed under: uncultured Acidobacteriota bacterium
Lineage: Bacteria; Pseudomonadati; Acidobacteriota
Description: uncultured Acidobacteria bacterium partial 16S ribosomal RNA
Rfam family: Bacterial small subunit ribosomal RNA
Source: RNAcentral